GUCCAUUGUUCCAAGACUGGAGGCCUGGGGCUCUCUUUUCCCCUUGCUACAGUAGCAAAAGUAGAGCCCCCGGCGAUUUCCGAUCCCGUGCCCGCUUCUAUCUGAUUCCUCGCCUCCGCCGGCGCCGCCGGCGCCGAGAGAGGUGAGAAUCGAGCGUGGAAGCGGGUACGGUUCUGUAUAUCUGCUAACUCUAGUUAUAGCUCUAGUAGACUAGAUUUUCUAGCGGUUAGUAUGUAAGUCGCCAGUACUGGUUCCUUCCAUGGCGGAUCCAGCAUCAGUGGCGGCUUCAUCGGCGCUGAUGGAUUCAGUGGUUAUGCGCUAUGGAGGAUUGUAUCCAUGGUGGUGUGCACGAAGACGGCGACGAUGGCGAUGUCGGCGGCGGAUUUCUCAGUGCCACUGCAUGGAGGUAUGGCCCUCGGCCAUUGUUAGCUUGGACGUUCAGCGAUUUAGGUGCACAUCUUGUGAUGUGCCGAUUGAUGUGGCUUCAAAAUUGUAUGUUGCUUCUUCGUGGAGACGGUUUCGGCUUCAAGCUGCAAACUUGGCGUUCACUUCGGCGUUGAGUGGCGGCCGGUGUCGAAGAUGACUGGGAGUUUUGUACAAAGGACUUGAAUGUAAUUUUCUUUAUACUCAGACAUGUCCUUGUAAAGAAAUCUGUACAAUCCUUUAUAUGAAUCAAUAAAUGCAACCCGGUUUUCUCAAAAAAAAAA
Molecule: long non-coding RNA, 707 nt
Organism: Panicum hallii
Lineage: Eukaryota; Viridiplantae; Streptophyta; Magnoliopsida; Poales; Poaceae
Exons: 2
Source: RefSeq, a predicted model, not a curated record